This 460-nucleotide ribosomal RNA is filed under the name uncultured bacterium. Its description in RNAcentral is "partial 16S ribosomal RNA". It matches the Rfam family "Bacterial small subunit ribosomal RNA", at positions 338 to 795 of the family's 1533-position model. The record is from RNAcentral.
CCUACGGGUGGCAGCAGUGAGGAAUAUUGGUCAAUGGACGAGAGUCUGAACCAGCCAAGUAGCGUGAAGGAUGACUGCCCUAUGGGUUGUAAACUUCUUUUAUAUGGGAAUAAAACGUUCCACGUGUGGGAUUUUGUAUGUACCAUAUGAAUAAGGAUCGGCUAACUCCGUGCCAGCAGCCGCGGUAAUACGGAGGAUCCGAGCGUUAUCCGGAUUUAUUGGGUUUAAUGGGAGCGUAGGUGGAUUGGUAAGUCAGUUGUGAAAGUUUGCGGCUCAACCGUAAAAUUGCAGUUGAAACUGGCAGUCUUGAGUACAGUAGAGGUGGGCGGAAGUCGUGGUGUAGCGGUGAAAUGCUUAGAUAUCACGAAGAACUCCGAUUGCGAAGGCAGUUCACUGGACUGCAACUGACACUGAGGCUCGAAAGUGUGGGUAUCAAACAGGAUUAGAUACCCGUGUAGUC